GCACAAAGAGAUAAUGUUAUAAUCCUCUACUGCUUUUUAUUCUCUUGUCUCCUGACAAACCCAAAAUUUUGAUCAAGGAUAUGUAAUUGCCACUCAAUUCCUUGAAAAUACUGCAUAGAGGCCCUGAGAUGAAUCUCUCUUCAUUCAGUUUUCAAAUUUUGUUUUUCAAUAAUCCCUUUCUAGGAAGAUAAAAAAAAAAAAAAAAAAAAAGACAA
RNAcentral lists this long non-coding RNA (215 nucleotides) under Homo sapiens (human). RNAcentral describes it as "non-protein coding lnc-DTHD1-14:1". Lineage: Eukaryota; Metazoa; Chordata; Mammalia; Primates; Hominidae. The record is from RNAcentral.